Long non-coding RNA from Equus asinus (donkey), 1228 nucleotides. Lineage: Eukaryota; Metazoa; Chordata; Mammalia; Perissodactyla; Equidae. The record is from Ensembl.
CAGAACUAUACUUUCCUCUUGUUCUGUUUGCCAUCACCACCAUUGUGAUUCCAGGCUCGAACUCAUGGUAUGGACUGGUCUACAUACUGCUCUGCCAUGACAGGGCUUCCAGAGCACCCAGCCAGCACUCAGAACCUGGGUUGCUUGAGAGACUGCAGGACCUCCAUCCUGGAAUGGUGCAGGAGCUAACACUGGUGGUCUCGGCCCCGACUUUGCCCCACCAUCUUAAAACUGAAGAAUCCAGUCUCCCCCUAAACCCACUGAGUUAUUAUCCUUGGGGUUGGGGACCAGGCAACAGAAUGAACAUCAGUCAGACUGUAGGAGAUAGGUUUUUGAGUUUUUCCAAACAAACAUUUUAUAUUGUUUCAGUACUACCCUUGGACUCCAGACACAGAUUUCAUGUUGUCUCAUUCACCUUUGCUGCAUUUAUAAGAAGGUUGGAUGGUGGAAGUGGCAUUGAAAUUAAUAUACUAAAUGAAAAUCCCGUGCACCUUCUCAGAUUCCCUUGACUAUUUCUUUCUUCUCUUGUUUGUCACCUCACCCAUCCCGAGUUGCCCUUGUACAUCUAGGUUGAGAGGAAAUGAACCCAUUCGGAGCAUGGACCAUGGUUUUCUGAGAGACCAAGACACUGGAAGAGACAACCAUUGAUCAGCUGGAAAUAGGAGAUAAAGAGAGCACCUCUAUUUUCCCCUCCAAGGAUUGCUCUGAGUUGCAGUUUCUCCUUGCAAGACUUCCAGAAAAAUCCCAACAUGCCCAGUGAACAUGCUUGCUUAAUAAGUUGCUGUAAUCAAGUUGGUGGACUCACAACUACCAUGAACUUAGAAUCAACCAGUUCUCCAAGGAGCCUUGGUUCCUUUGACUAGAAAAUGGUAGAAGAAUCCAAGCCAUGGGCAGUAAGUGUACUCAUUUGCUCCUGGGUGGGUGGUGUUUCUAGCCUGUCUCAGUAGAUAGAAUUAGCUAAGACAUGUAUGUAUACUAACUCAGCAUAUACUGUACACCUCUAUUUUUAUUUCUGUGUCUAUUUAUCUGUAUGUUUGUAUCUUUUAAGACACGAGUCAAUAUUGAUACUUCUGAGUCCAAUCCAGCACCUGAGGGUUUAUUCUAGCCUUCUUACUUUCCUUAGUUGUAACUUCUUUUUCCAUUAAUGAGAAAUUGGGAGUAAUUAUUUGCAAUAUAUGUAUUUUUUCCUCUCGAGCAUACAAACAGUAUGAGAAACAGAUUUACCCAC